CUGUCACAGAAAGCACAGCAUAAGCACUGACAAAACGCAUCAAAUGCACAUGUGUUCAGAACAGAGAUUGUUGAUUUCCCAACUCUAAUCGGUUGAUGCAGGUUUCCAUUUUUUAAUAGUCCCACUUUCACUCUUUUUGCCCCAAAAGAUGGAUCUGCAUGGAGCCAUUCAGUGCAGGAAGUGAGAUAAGAAGUUCUCUUCCUUUUUUUGGGUGGAAGAAUUAGUCCCCUCCAGUUUUCAACCACGUCUUCAUCUGUUGGAGGAAUGUUUGUGGUUUCAUCGGAUUCUACAGAUUGAACAAAUCCACAUAUUUCCUUCUAUAAAGGAAAGAUGACGAGAAAUAAAGCGAUCAACUCGAAUGGGUAAGUUCUCGUGUUUAAAAAGGCCAUGCUUUACAUUUUUGAAUUCUGCUUCAACAGUGGCUGAGCUUGCUGUGAGGUUGGUGCUUUUGAAGAGGGGGACCAUUACUCCUGUCCAAAGUGCCGCGUAGGUCAGUCUGGAUCUCGUCAAAAGAAUCCACUUGAUGCAUUUCAUUUGGAUCUUCAGCUGGAAUGAUGAUGGAGUCUUCUGUGAUCUGGGUUUUUAGAUAUUUUUUGCACAUCUCUGAUUCGAGAGGGACUCCAGAACUAUCAUCACCCUCUGCCUCACUGAGGGCCACAACAGUGAUG
This is a long non-coding RNA of Girardinichthys multiradiatus, 668 nucleotides long. RefSeq lists it as uncharacterized. Lineage: Eukaryota; Metazoa; Chordata; Actinopteri; Cyprinodontiformes; Goodeidae. The transcript has 3 exons. The record is from RefSeq and is a predicted model, not a curated record.